This 486-nucleotide ribosomal RNA is filed under the name uncultured bacterium. Its description in RNAcentral is "partial 16S ribosomal RNA". It matches the Rfam family "Bacterial small subunit ribosomal RNA", at positions 28 to 523 of the family's 1533-position model. The record is from RNAcentral.
GACGAACGCUGGCGGCGUGCUUAACACAUGCAAGUCGAACGGUGAAAGCGGAGCUUGCUCCGCUGGAUCAGUGGCGAACGGGUGAGUAACACGUGGGCAACCUGCCCCUCACUUCGGGAUAACUCCGGGAAACCGGGGGCUAAUACCGGAUAUGACCUCCUUGGGCAUCCUUGGAGGUGGAAAGUUUUUCGGUGAGGGAUGGGCCCACGGCCUAUCAGCUUGUUGGUGAGGUAGUGGCUCACCAAGGCGACGACGGGUGGCCGGCCUGAGAGGGCGACCGGCCACACUGGGACUGGGACACGGCCCAGACUCCUAGGGGAGGCAGCAGUGGGGAAGAUUGCGCAAUGGGCGAAAGCCUGACGCAGCAACGCCGCGUGCGGGAUGACGGCCUUCGGGUUGUAAACCGCUUUCAGCAGGGAAGAAGCCGCUAGGUGACGGUACCUGCAGAAGAAGCACCGGCUAACUACGUGCCAGCCGCCGCCGUAA